This 738-nucleotide ribosomal RNA is filed under the name Curtobacterium sp. RNAcentral describes it as "bacterial SSU rRNA". It matches the Rfam family "Bacterial small subunit ribosomal RNA", at positions 74 to 825 of the family's 1533-position model. The record is from RNAcentral. Lineage: Bacteria; Bacillati; Actinomycetota; Actinomycetes; Micrococcales; Microbacteriaceae.
CCCAGCUUGCUGGGUGGAUUAGUGGCGAACGGGUGAGUAACACGUGAGUAACCUGCCCCUGACUCUGGGAUAAGCGUUGGAAACGACGUCUAAUACUGGAUAUGACUACUGGUCGCAUGGCCUGGUGGUGGAAAGAUUUUUUGGUUGGGGAUGGACUCGCGGCCUAUCAGCUUGUUGGUGAGGUAAUGGCUCACCAAGGCGACGACGGGUAGCCGGCCUGAGAGGGUGACCGGCCACACUGGGACUGAGACACGGCCCAGACUCCUACGGGAGGCAGCAGUGGGGAAUAUUGCACAAUGGGCGAAAGCCUGAUGCAGCAACGCCGCGUGAGGGAUGACGGCCUUCGGGUUGUAAACCUCUUUUAGUAGGGAAGAAGCGAAAGUGACGGUACCUGCAGAAAAAGCACCGGCUAACUACGUGCCAGCAGCCGCGGUAAUACGUAGGGUGCAAGCGUUGUCCGGAAUUAUUGGGCGUAAAGAGCUCGUAGGCGGUUUGUCGCGUCUGCUGUGAAAUCCCGAGGCUCAACCUCGGGCUUGCAGUGGGUACGGGCAGACUAGAGUGCGGUAGGGGAGAUUGGAAUUCCUGGUGUAGCGGUGGAAUGCGCAGAUAUCAGGAGGAACACCGAUGGCGAAGGCAGAUCUCUGGGCCGUAACUGACGCUGAGGAGCGAAAGCGUGGGGAGCGAACAGGAUUAGAUACCCUGGUAGUCCACGCCGUAAACGUUGGGCGCUAGAUGUAG